RNAcentral lists this long non-coding RNA (16322 nucleotides) under Panax ginseng (ginseng). RNAcentral's name for it is "long non-coding RNA (PGIN_LNC017147)". Lineage: Eukaryota; Viridiplantae; Streptophyta; Magnoliopsida; Apiales; Araliaceae. The record is from RNAcentral.
CCAAACCACGCAAGACGUCAAAAGUCUACCCUUUAUGACCGAGACCUUCAAGUCCUUGUCGGCUUGCUUAUAGUUUGUGGACUAUAUACACUUGAAGUAGUGGUUAAUUACGUAUGCUUCUGUUGAAAAUUUUGAUCAGUUCCACAUGAUGAGUUUGUAAUUGUUUUCCUUUUUCUUUUCUUUAUAUGCGGGAAAGAAGAGAGAGAAUUAAUUCCUAAACCACUACAUAUACUUCAUUUUGCAACAUGCCUUGUUUGCUAAUAACAUAAACAAUUCCGGUCAGUGUUUCGAAGUGUGUGAACCCUUCAAGAGUCAUGAGGAUAGCUUGCAUCAUGAUAUUUUCUAUUGUACUAGUACUCUUGUUGCUUCAUACUAUUCCUAGGAGUUGCUCAGCCAUAAGUACUAGUCUUCAUCAUCAUCAUAAUCAUGUAACUCUAAUUAACAUCACCACGGAUGAAUCCACUCUUUUGGCCUUGAAAUCUAGUAUCAUUUCUGAUCCUACCCAUACCCUGACAAACAAUUGGUCUGUCGCUAAAGGCUCUUGUUGUAACUGGGUUGGAGUCACUUGUGGCACUCGCCAUAAACGAGUCGUCGCCUUAGAUCUUUCAACCAUGGGCCUAAUAGGCACCAUUCCUCCGCAAAUUGGAAACCUCUCAUUCCUUGUUUCCCUUGGUCUUAGCAAUAAUAGAUUCAGCGGUUCCUUUCCCAAAGAAUUGUCUGGUUUGCGUCGACUUAAAAAAUUAAGUCUAAGAUUCAACAACUUUGGAGGGGAGCUUCCCUCAUGGUUGGGUGAAUUAACCAAACUUGAACAUUUGUCGCUUGGAUAUAACAAUUUUACAGGCAUUAUUCCACCUUCUUUUUCCAACAUAACAAAGCUUGUGCGGUUGAGUUUAGUGGACAACUCUCUUCGAGGAAGUAUUCCGCCCAAGAUUGGUAGUCUUGCUAACUUGGAAGUAUUUUCGAUAGAAAGUAACCAGCUUACUGGCUCCAUCCCACUCACCAUCUAUAACAUCUCAACACUGAAAGUUAUUGCGUUUACAAAUAAUAGUUUGUCUGGUAAUCUGCCACCGGAUAUUUGUAAACGUAUCCCGAAUAUCGAAGGGCUUUAUCUGUUUCUAAACGAACUGUCUGGCCCAAUUCCUUCAUCUCUGCAUGAAUGCUCAAAACUUGAAGUUCUCGCUUUGCAAACCAACGAAUUCAGUGGAACCAUUCCAAGAGAGAUUGGAAACUUAACUCUGCUGCUCACGUUGUCCCUCGGUUACAACUACUUGAAAGGUAUGGUUAUGAUGCUAGUUGCUGCUUUUACCUUUAAGAUUACUUUCUUUCCUUUUCAACGAUAUUAAUUUAAUAAAUUAUAAAAAAAUAUUUGUUAUAAAUUUUUAUUCCAUCCGUCUAAUUUUAUUUAUCCUAAUUAAUUUGAAAAUACACGUAUAUUAAAAAAAUUAUCUCGAAAUUACUCAUCUUAAUUACUCUAUUAUCAUUUUGUUUGUUUUAAUUAAUUUUCUUCCUUUUUCUUUCUCUUUCUUGAAAUAAUAAAAUAGAGGCGAGAAAGAGGAGGAAAAAGGAGUAAGGCAUGAUUCUCUUUUUAAUAUCAGAGUUAAUAGUAUUAAUUUUUUCAAUAUAUGUCAUGUUGUUUUUAAUAAUUUUUUUUAAAUAAAGUUAAAUGAGGAUAAUAUUAAAAGAAAUAAGGUCAACAUAUUAUUAAAAUGAAACGAGAAUAAGUAAAUUUGAACAAUUAAAAAGGAAAUUAUGAUAAAUAAACUUGAACGGAGACAAUAUUACGUAAUACUAUAUAUCCAAAAAAUUAAAUUCUUAUUAAAUAUGUUUUUUUUAAUAAUAGUCUCAUAUUAAUAUCAGGUAACAUAUUCUUCAUAACAAAAUUAUUUAUUUUAAAAUUAUAUUAUAUAAGUAAUGUAAACUCGAAUAUCUAUAUUAGUAAUAAUGGCAUAGUUCUAUACAAAUUAGGUAAGAUGGUCUAAAUUAGUGUAUUUGUGACGACCCCAAAUUAGGUAUACAUCAUCCAUUCUGAGUCGCCAAAUACAUGGUACAGAAACAAAUACAACUUCAGUAAUACAAUUGUCGUGCAAAAUACGACAACACAUAUACUGUGAGUUUGAAUACAAAUAUAGUCUAAUAGAGAGUAUACAAACUCAAAAGAAGUCCUCAUUAUAAUUAUUGAUACACUAUUUUACAAAAUAGUGAGGACUACUAAUAUAUCUAUCCUGAACCAUCACUCCAUACCCUGGCUAGUUCUUGCUAUGUUAUCACCUCCUGAGAAGAAAAAAUGGAACAAAAAGGAAAAGAGUGAGCUCAACUAGCCCAAUAAAGAAUAUUAUGACUAAGAUAAUAUACAACAAUUUAUCAUUAGUCUUCAACAGGGAAAAAUCUGAUAAAAUAUAAUAGACAACAAGUUUUAGAUCAACAACUGCAGCGAAAACAGCAAUCCAUUAAAAGAGUCAAGUAGAGAAAGAAUUUUACUAUCUUCUAAGAUUUAACAGUCCAUCAUCAAUAAUUUAUCCCUGUAACAUCAAUCAAUAUACAUCUUGAAUCAAAUAUUCAUCUUUACACUAUAGGCCAAAUAUAUUUAUUUGUAUCACCAGUUGGUCAUGUUCAUCUCAACACCUGUUCAUCUUUGCACUACGGGCCAAAGAUAUUCAUCAGUUAAUCAUUCAUCUUUGCACUACGGGCCAAAGAUAUUCAUCAGUUAAUCAUUCAUCUUUGCACUACGGGCCAAAGAUAUUCAGUAAUAUCAUUAUUUAGGAUUGAGGAAGAUGAAAAAUAUUUUAAAGAACAAAUUCAGUGAGACAGAAGGACAAAUAUUAGGGAUUCAUAUUUCAGUUUAUCCAAGUUCAAUAAUACUCCAUAAUAAACUAUAGUGAAGUAAAAUUCAAGAAUGAAGAUCAAAACAUGGAUUAAAUUUCAAGAAUAAGGGUCACAACAGAUAACUUGGAAGAAGAAAAAAAAUUUUCUUUUGUGAACAGUAACCGUGAAUAGUACCUGUGAACAGUACCCGUGAACAGUAACUGUGAACAGUACCCGUGAAUAGUACCCAGUCAUGAAAAGUUCUAAAUUUGAUAAAAAAGUUCAGACCAAUAUUUCUAUGAAAUGAUAUUAGAUGAAACGAAAUUUCUAAUCAUUUCAGGAAUUAUAGAAGCAAUACUUACCAUAGUAAGUUCAAAUUUAGGAAUAUGAAAUGAAAUAAUAUUCCUUUCAUACUAUGGAGUAUGAAAGAAAAUAAUAUUUCUUACGAGUAUUGAAAUAAAAUAAUAUCUUUUACCUUGGUAGAAACUGGAUUUGACUGGAAUAUCAGAUAUUAUUCUGAGAAAAUCUUGUAGAAAAACUACGCUCAAAAUAUUCUUAUACUCAAGAAAAAUACUCACAAUACUUUAGAAUAAGAAUUUCUGAAUUUGAAAAUGGUGUGAUUUUAGGAUGGAGGGGUUACCCCCUAUUUAUACUAAAAGCCUCGGAUGAAAAAUCAACAAGCUGCCUAACUUGCAAAUUUUUUCUCCACAUAAUCUUUUCCAUUCAAAGCCUGCCUAACUUUUUUUUCUUUCCACGCCUAACCUCUUUCUUUUCUUCUUUGCCCAACCAAUCAACUCCUUAAGGCCCACACCAUUGGAGAAAAGUUUGCAGGCAUCUUAAUUUCCACCACCAACCAUUAAUAACACAUGGAUAUAUAUAUAUAUAUAUAUAUAUAUAUAUAUAUAUAUAUAUAUAUAUAUAUAACACUNNNNNNNNNNNNNNNNNNNNNNNNNNNNNNNNNNNNNNNNNNNNNNNNNNNNNNNNNNNNNNNNNNNNNNNNNNNNNNNNNNNNNNNNNNNNNNNNNNNNNNNNNNNNNNNNNNNNNNNNNNNNNNNNNNNNNNNNNNNNNNNNNNNNNNNNNNNNNNNNNNNNNNNNNNNNNNNNNNNNNNNNNNNNNNNNNNNNNNNNNNNNNNNNNNNNNNNNNNNNNNNNNNNNNNNNNNNNNNNNNNNNNNNNNNNNNNNNNNNNNNNNNNNNNNNNNNNNNNNNNNNNNNNNNNNNNNNNNNNNNNNNNNNNNNNNNNNNNNNNNAAAUAUCAACGCAGCAAUUAUUGAAUCAAUAAAAUAAAAUAUUGAACAUUAAUUACUGUAAAAAUUAUUGAGUAGUGCCUUCUUACGUAAGAAUCAAUAAUUCAACAAUACUGUGCAAUACCGUGUGCUACUGUGCAACCACGCGUAUUACUGUAUUUUAACCACCAGGUAAUCCAACAGUGUUAACGGUAACAACUACACCGUUAUUUAUAAAAACUCAAACUUUGUCGUUUUCUUCAUCCGACAGUUAUUCAGUUAUGGAGCCCACAAAUGACUGUGCCGUCGUACGGAUAUUCUCGACAAGAAGAAUAUUCUACGACCAAACGAAUAUUUCCCGACAACAAUGAUUAUUUUAUAACCACUUGCUUAUUUUGUAAAAUUUGCACAUUUCACCCAUAACCAAAGUAUUAUAUCAAAUUAUCACCUUAUUAUUUCAAGAUAAUAAAUAGAGAAAUUCAAUUUUAUUUAUAAUAAGUUGGGGUCUUACAGUAUUAUUUCGGGUUAAAUGUUUUUUCAGUCACUGUACUAUAAGUCGACUUACAGAUGGAUAACUGAACUUUUUUUUUCUUACAGUCAACUCAUUGUACUCUACUUUUCUAACAAAAAGUUAAAAAAACCGUUAAAACCUUUGACUUUAACGGAACGGUGCUAAGUCAGCUGCUGAGUUGUCUAAAAAAAGCUUACGUGUCAGUUAGUACGCGACGUGGCAAUGAUGAUGUGGAUGUGGAGGAAACAUUUUAUUAAAAAAUUGAAAAUAAUAUUUUAAAGUAUAAUAUAAAUUUAAAAAAUUAGCCAAAAAAUAAGAAAAAUAAAAUAAAAUAUAUUUAAUUAUUUUUGUAAUUAAUAUCAAAUAAAAUUUUAUUUAUAAUUAAGCCAUUUAUAAAAUAUAAAAACUAAAAGUUUGCUAAUAUAUAUAUAUUUUUUAAUAAAAGUAAUUAUUUUUUUAUUAAAAAAAACUGCAUUCUUAAUUAUUUUUAUUAAAAAAACAGCAUUUUUUUUUAAAAAAAUAUAUUUUUAUUAAAAAAAAACUGCACUUUUUAUUUUAUUUUUAUAAAAAAAGAAAACUGCGUUUUAUAUUUUUUUUUAAUUUAAAAACUGCAUUUUUUAUUUUAUUUUUUAAAAAAAAAACUGCGAUUUUUUUUAUUAAAAAAAAAUUGCAUUUUUUAUUUUAUUUUUAUAUAAAAAAAACUUCAUUUUUUUUUAUUUUUAUUAAAAAAAAUGCAGUGUUUUUAAUAAAAAUAAUUAAAAAUGCAAUUUUUUUAAUAAAAAAACUAAUAAUAACUUUAUUAAAAAAAUUUAAAGUUAUUAAAAAAAUUUAAAUAUAUUAGCAAACUUUUAUUUUUUAUAUUUUAUAAAUGGCUUAAUUAUAAAUAAAUUUUUAUUUGAUAUUAAUUACAAAAAUAAUUAAAUAUAUUUUAUUAUUUUUUGGCUAAUUUUUUAAUUUUAUAUUAUACUUUAAAAUAUUUUUUUCUAUUUUUUCAUAAAAUUUUUUAUCCAAAUCCACAUCAUCAUUGCCACGUCGCAUACUAAUUGACACGUAAGGUUUUUUUGGACAACUCAGCAGCUUAUUCAGCACCGUUCCGUUAAAGACAAAGCUUUUAACGGUUUUUUUAACUUUUUGUUAGAAAAGUUGAGUACAGUGAGUUGACUGUAAGAAAAAAAAAGUUCAGUUAUCCAUUUGUAAGUCGACCUAUAGUACAGUGACUGAAAAGUAUUUAACCUAUAUUGUUUCAUUCUAAAACUAUAUAAUUAAUCUAUUGAACAAAAUUGUGCAUUCAAAAAGCGAGUUGACUUAUAAACUCGAUUAAAAUAUAAAAAGUUUAAGAGUAAAAUACAUUGACAAUCCCUGUAGAUAACCAUAACAACAUUCACUACUCCUCUAGUUUUUCAAACAACAGUCAGUAUCUAUUUCGUCUAUAAUAUAUAACAUUCACUACUCCUAGUGUGGUUAACCAACUAAUAUCCAAAAAUAUUUUUAAUAUAAUGUCUAAUAUACCCUUCAAGUUAUAAUGUUUAAUAUAUCCGCUAAAUAUAAAUUUGUAUGUUAUAAUUUUUACUUAACUUGUUCUAAUUAAUUAAAUUAUGAAGUUGUGCAAUAAAUAACAUAAAUAUCAAAAAAUAAUAAAUAUUUAUUUAGAUCAAGAAAAUAAAGUCAUACACUUUUUUCUAAUUAAAUUUCUUAAAGAUUAAAAUUUAUGUAAUAUACAUUCAAAUAUAUAUUUUUGUAAUUAAUAAGUAAAAUUUUAAUAAGCAUAAAAGUACAAAUUAACGCAAAAAAAUCUAAUUAUUUUUUCCAAAUAUUAAAAUUUACAUAAAAUAAACUUAUUAGUACAUAAAGAAUCUUAUUAUUCAUAUAAAAAAAGUAUUAAAAAUUAUAUUAAUUAUUUUUAUCAAGUAUUAAACUAAAUAUAGGUCACACUUAAGCAUAAUUAUUUACAAUAAAAAUGACAAAUCUUAUUACUAAAAAAAAUACAUUAAAAAUUCUUUUAAUAAGAUAGAGGUAGUAAUAAAUAUUAUUAUAUUUUUUUAUUCAAUAUUGUAUAAAAACAACACCAACUGUAUACUAAAAAAUGUAAUUAAAAUCCCAAAUUUUGACAUAUACUCAAGAAAAUUUAACAUAUAAAAAUCAUAAUAUGAAACUAAUAAUUAAAAUAAUAUUUUUUGUUGUUAAACACCAAAAACUAAACUAACAACAUACUUAAUCACUUUAAUUAGAAAAUCUCCAUUAAUAAUUUAAUUUAAAAUUCUUAAUAUUUGUGUCACUUAUCCAAAAAUUUGUGUUAAUUAAAUUAAAUUAUUUGAAUGAGAGUCUUAAUUACAAAUAAAGUUAUAAUUAAAAUGUAUUGUAUUAAAAAAAGAUAAUUAAACACACACACACACACACACACACACACACACACACAUAUAUAUAUAUAUAUAUAUAUAUAUAUUAUUCAGGAAAUAAAAUUUGAUAACAUACAAGGGUAAAUAUACAAUUUUAUCAUUUAAUCAAUCCUAAAAACUUGCAGAGGUACUAAUUGUUACUUAAAAAAUUAGAGGGAAGGUGCGUGUUAUUAUGGUUAUCUAGGGGGUGUCACUGUAUUUUACUCAAUUUUUAAAUAAGUAUAUUUUUUUACGUGCUAAGAUUUAAUUUUUUAAUUAAUACUCUCUCCAUUCCAUAAUAAUAGACUUUUUAGAGAAAAAAUUUUAUUUCAAUUUAUUUUCCGUUUAUAACUUCUUAGGAGAAUAAUUUAUUUACAUUCGUAUAUCAUCCCUUCUCUCAUUGUCUCAAAAAAUUAUAUUGUAUUAAUAAUUUUUAACUUCUCAAAAAAGGGAUAAUGAUAAAAUUUCACACAAAUUUCAAGUAUUUGUGUUUCAGUCUAAUCAUCACUUACAAAAUAACUUGCAUCAUAUUACUCGUUCACAUAACUUACAUGCAUCAUUUUUUAUUUUAUUUUGCUAGUUUUAGGCGAAAUUUAACAUUCUUGCAUUUGAUAGGGAUGAAUCCAAAACCUCCUGGUGAUUUACGUGCAUCAUAUUACUCAUUCACAUAUUCACAUACAAAAUAAUUUAAAUCAUAUUACUCAUAGAGUCUAAUCAUCAUUAGUUUGAGGAUAAAAUGUAAAUUGCCAGAUAGCUUUUUUGUCCGCUACAUACAUAUAUUUCAAGUGCUCUUAAAUCUUAAUUGUGCUUUUGUCAUAACUCUUUUUUGUCCAUUUCGAAUUUUCGACAGGUACAAUUUCCCGAGAGAUUGACAAUCUUUAUAAUCUACAGAAACUAGCGUUAAGUUUCAAUAGCUUGACAGGUACUCCAUACUCAAUUUUCAAUCUCUCCAAACUUAAUUAGUAAUAAUUAAUUCUUAUAGUUAGUGAUUGUAUUACAUGAAUUAUAUAUUCCUAUAUCUUAGUAAUAUUAAUAGAUAUUAAUAUUGGUUAAGAUGGUUUUUUUUAUAGGAAUAUUAGUUCCUUCUACAACUAUAUCAUAUAACUAACUAUCAUAUUUUAUAGUAUUUAAUUAAUAUCAAAUACUUAUAAAAAGAUUACCAGAUGCUUUUGUCAAUAAUUAAUUGUUUUUUUCAUUUCGAAUUAAUUUUGGGCAGGUACAAUUCCCCAAGAGAUUGGCCAUCUUUAUAAUCUACAGCAUAUAGACUUGAGUUUCAAUAACUUUACGGGUAUUCCAGACUUAAUUUUCAAUCUCUCCAAGCUAGAAUACACCACAAUGGCUGAGAACCAUCUCAGGAAAACUUCCAUCCAAUAUUGGCCACAAACAACCCAAUCUAGCAACACUUGAUAUUGAAGGGAAUAAUUUCACAGGGAUUUUGCCCGAUUCCAUCUCAAAUGCUACUAAACUAGAGCAUAUAGUGAUUUCUCGUAAUAAAUUCUCCGGUACAAUUCCCAAUUCACUAGGAAAUUUGGAACUCCUCGAAAUCCUUGCCUUUGAGGAGAAUAACUUCGUCUUUGAAAAAUCAUCCACGGAAAUCAGCUUCAUCACUAGCUUGACAAAUUGUAGAAACUUGAGACUUUUAUAUAUAUCACGUAAUUCUCUAAAUGGAUACCUUCCGGCUUCCAUCGAAAAUUUCUCAACAGCUUUUGAAGACUUUCGUGAAGAAAUGAUCGGAAUUAGGGGCAUCCUUCCCAGUGGAAUUGGUAAUUUGAGUAGUCUUACAACAUUAUAUCUAGGUUACAACGAAUUGACCGGAAAAAUUCCUGUAGCAAUCAGAGGUUUGUCGACCCUUCAAAGAUUACAUCUGUUUGAAAACAAGAUUGAAGGAUCCAUUCCGGAUGAUCUAUGUCUAUUACAGAACUUGGGCAGUUUACGCUUAGAACUAAACAAAAUUUCGGGUCCAUUGCCAGAUUGCUUAGGAAAUAUUACUUCUCUAAGAUAUCUUUAUCUUAGUUCCAAUGCAUUGACCUCUAGAUUACCAACACAUCUUGGGAACCUAAAGGAUCUUUUGGAAUUCAAUGCAUCCAGAAAUUCUUUCAGUGGUCAUCUACCUAUUGAACUGAGCAAUUUGAAGGCUGCAGUGCUAAUAGAUUUGUCAUAUAAUCAAUUUUCUGGGAACAUGCCUAACAUACUUGGCCAGCUCCCAAACAUGGUUAAUCUUUCUUUGGCAAAUAAUAUUCUACAAGGACCUAUUCCUGAUACAUUUAAAUAUUCAGUGGGCUUAGAAUACUUGGAUUUGUCACAUAACAACUUUUCUGGUGUGAUUCCCAAGUCACUAGAGGCACUCUUUCAUCUUCGCUACUUCAAUGUAGCUUUUAAUAGUUUAAGAGGAGAAAUUCCAAGUGAAGGUCCUUUCAAAAACUUCACUCGUCAAUCUUUCAUGUCUAAUGAAGCAUUGUGUGGUGCUCCUCGAUUUCAAGUCCCACAAUGUCAUAACAGCUCUAUUCAUCAUGGAUCACAAAGAAAAAAUAGAGUGCUUCAAGCUAUAUGUAUCUCCCUAGUGACGGCAUCAAUAUUUGUUACCUUGACCUUUUCAUUUGUGUGGAUACGACUUCGAAGGAAAAGUAAGGUUCCAUCUCAAAUUGAUUUGUCACAAUUAAUUGCCCUUUAAGAAUCUCAUAUUACGAAUUACGACUAGCAACUGAUGCAUUUAGUGAAAGCAAUUUACUUGGCAUGGGUAGCUUUGGUUCGGUUUACAAAGGGGUACUUGCGAAUGGGACAUUCAUUGCGAUUAAAGUAUUCAAUUUGCAAUUUGAAGGAGCAUUCAAGAGUUUCGAUGUAGAAUGUGAAGUAUUGCGCAACCUUCGCCACCGAAAUAUAUGCAAAGUCAUUAGUAGUUGCUCUAACCUUGAUUUCAAGGCAUUGGUACUUGAAUACAUGUCGAAUGGGAGCCUUGAGAAGCGGUUGUACUCUCAUAAUCAUUUCUUAGAUAUUUUGCAAAGAAUAGACAUAAUGAUAGAUGUGGCAUGUGUUUUGGACUAUCUUCAUUAUGGUUAUUCAACAACAAUAGUUCAUUGUGAUCUAAAGCCCAGCAACAUCCUUCUAGAUGAAGAUAUGGUUGCACAUCUGAGUGACUUUGGCAUAGCAAAGUUAUUGGGAGAAGGGGAAAAUAUUGCACAAACCAUGACUUUAGCUACAAUUGGAUAUAUUGCACCAGGUGACCCUCUAUCUUAUUAAUUUUAUUUUUUCUUGGCUCAAAUAUAUAUAUUCUUCUGCUAAGUUUUACGAAAUACGUUUUUGUUUACCAUGUUGCUUUGUGAUGUUGGAUCGUUUUUCAGAGUAUGGAUCAGAAGGAUUAGUGUCCAAGAAAUGUGAUGUUUACAGUUAUGGUAUUAUGUUGAUGGAAAUAUUUACAAGAAUUAAGCCCAAUGAUAAACAAUUUCUUGGAAAUAUGAGUCUUAAGCAUUGGGUAAGCACUUCAUUUCCUAAGUCACUCAUCCAAGUUAUUGACGCAAACUUGCUAAAACCAGAAGAUGGUGACAUAACUUUGAAGGUAAGUUGUAUAUCAUCUAUCAUGGAAUUGGCUUUGAGUUGCUCUGCAGAUUCACCUAAUGAGAGGUUCGACAUAAAAGAUGUCAUGGUAGCACUCAAGAAGAUUAGACUUCAUUUCCUUGCGAAUCAUGGACAGACUUGAAACAUCAAAGUACUCCUUGUAAAUUAUGUUUUGUAACUCUAAUUCUCCUAUCUAAAUACAAGAAUAUUGUCAUGAUCAUGGAUUUGCCCAUGAACAGUAUGUUUUGGUACCCAAUCUUUUGGAUGAUUGUAAACUAUGUAUUGUCCUUUAAUUCUAUGUAUUAUGGUGUUAUUGUGUCAUACACGCUGUGUUUUUUCUACUGUAUAUUGUUCCUUUUAAACUUAAUUUGGAGGAAUAUAAUUUGAAUGGUUGAAUAGUCCUUUAAUUUUGUAAAUAAAAUUUAGUUCAAUCAGUUAAUUGGAAAAAAAAGAUCAAUUAAUUGAGGUUCUUUUGAGCAAGGAAAAAAUGAUUUAACCCAUUUUCUUUCCCAGCUUCUGGCAUGCCAUUUUUGCCAAGUAAAAACAUAUAAUAUUUUUGCACCCAUGCUUGAUAUGUUUGAAUGUGUGGGGGUAUAUAUAUCACAAAAAGUGCAAAACAUGGAAAAUAUUUGCUACAAUCAUUUUCCUCUGCAAGUGUGAUUUGGUUACAAUUUGACGACUUAACAAAGCAUAAUAGAGUAAACACUUCGUACAUUUAAAGCGGGCACUACAAAUGUAGCCAAUUCCAAGAAAAGAAAUUAUACUUGUGCCAUCAACAUAGAAAUGAAUUGUUAGUGACACCAUGUACAAAUUUUAUGAUUUAUCUCAGGGAUAUAAAUAAGUCUAUAUUGGGUAACAGCCAUUCCAUCCAUUUUUAUGUUGGCGGGCAUGACAGUUUCAUAACCUACAAAAUGGGUGUAUCAAGAUCUUCUCUCGAACUUCUUCUCACUUGAUCUUUUCUCCUUUGCUUCCCGCCGUCUUUGCUGCCUGUAAAAUGAAAGGCUUUGACUAAUGUGACCAGUGACAACAUCAAUUUAAAGCAAAUUGCUCAUGUUGAAAAAUAACCAAAUCUAAGACUAGGUAGGUUCAUUGUCAAUUUCAUCUUACAACCCACUUUGCAUGACAACAAAUAUGAGACAAAAUAUUGGUUAUGGUGCAAUUGAGAUCAUAUAUUGGUUAUGCCAACACAACCAAGUCACAUCAGCAUUUUUUACCACAUAAUAAGUUUAGAUAUGUGAUGUAGGACAAAAACUGGAAAAAAAACACUGGUCCGAAGAAAUGACAUUAAUUCCGAAGACACUAAUUUUCAAAGGCAAUAAUGUUGAGCUAGUUCGGUUGAUUUAGCGGUCGGGAGUUAGAUUUGUCUUCUCUUCGGAACGGUCGAUUUCACCCAGUAACGAUUGGCUUUAGGAUAAGUCUUCUGAUACGAAAAUGGUGUCCAUGACCAGAUCUUCAAGUCUUCAAAUUAUAUCCGGUAUGUUGUCUUGUGUAGUAGUCACUCGGGAUUUUAAGUUAUGGUUCUUGUGUGACACUUUUGUAUGAAAUAUGGGUUUAAAUGAUGUUAAGAUGACGUGAAUGUAGUAUUGAGGUGGCAAAAUGAUGUUUUUGCCCCUCACCGUGGUUAUCUCCGGCUCUGCGCAGAUGUAGCAAUCGUUGCUCAAGGUUAUCUCUGAGAUUGGGCUGUUGUGAAUGCUGAAUGUCCUCAGGGUUGUCUCUGAGGUGUGUUUUACCUCCUGGGGUUAUAUCUGAGGUUGGAACUGAGUGCCUCGGAGUUGUCUCUGAGGUUAAAAUUGACUUUUCCGGGGUUAUCUCCGGAAUUAGAACUGCAUCCCUCGAGGUUAUCUCUGAGGUUGGAACUGAGUCUCUCAGAGUUGUCUCCGGGAUUGAAAUUGACUAUCUCGGAGUUGUCUCCGAGGUUGAAAAUUGAGCAUCCCGAGGUUGUAUUCGGGAUUGAGCUGAUUUGACUUUUAAGAUUGUCUCUGAAAGACGAUUUUAGAUAAGUCUUUGUCGGAUUGCUUAUAGUUUAUGUGGACUACAUUUGAAGUAGUGGUAUUGAUUUUCCUUUCCAGUCUUCCCGUGGAAAUUAUUGAGAUAAAUUUCUCCGAAAUACACUUGCAACUUCUAUAAUUAUUAUAAAUUAAUUAUUGUGAUAUAAUGGCCUAUAAUUAUUAUACUAUGUAUAAUAAUUAAAUGUUCUAUACAGAAAUACACGUGCAACUUCUAUAAUAAUUUAAUGUUCUUAAAAAUCUAUAAUAAUAAAAAAUUUAAAAAAUAGUUUGACAUUUUUAAAGUGUAUUUCUUAUGCCAAAAUUGAAAUAAGUUUCUAAAAUGACAAACCAAUAAAAGAAUUAGUUGGGUAGGUUCUUCUUAGUCCUUUGAGUAGUCACAAUCACAAUGAGAAACAAGUGCCUACUGAACUUAAAGCACAAAGGCCACUGCAGUGAACAGGGGCAGAUCCAUAAUUUUUUUAAUAGGAGCAGAUUUUAAUUAAUUUUUUUUAUUAAAGUUAAAUAAAUAAAAUUUGAACUAAUUAUAAUAAUAUUUACAAAUUACAAUAAAUAUUCAUAAUCUAAAGUAAAAAAAAUUUAAAUAAAAAAAAUUUAAAUACAAUUUAGAAGACAAAAAUAUAAUGAAUCUACGUUUGUAUGUACUUUUAUUUAGAAUCUGGAUUAUUUUUGCUCUUUCUAAAUUUAACUCUUCCAUUAAUCUAUUUUAUUAAAUUUAUUCACUUACAUAUUUGUCUCUACUCUAUACCUAAAAAUAAUCCAACAGGAGCUGACUAUGCUGCCCCCUUAAUGGGUUUUUACAUUUUGGUUUUCAAAGUUUAUUAUUGAACCUAAUGAGAGUUUUGGAAAUUCCAAAUAAGAGUAGAAGACCCGUCAAGGCAAACACAUCAAUUGGAAGUCCCACGCAUCCCCUUUAGUCGAUACAUAAUCUGACAAUAAACAACUAACAUUUAAAUUUCUUUUCUUUUCUUUUUGAAAUUUUUGUUAGUAUUUACUUGUUUAUAGUUGAGAUUAUGAAAAAAAAAUGUGAAAUAGUCAAAUUUAAAACUUAUAUAUUAGGCAUUAUAUUAUACGGCGAUCUUUUUGUAGGGUCUUUUAUCCUUUAUUUUAGAAUUUUUACAUAAUUAUGUAAAUUUAUAAUUAUAAACUUUUUGUCACACACAACUCUUGUGUCCAAGCUAAUAAUAUAUAUAAAAGAUUUGCUUAGACAUAAAUUUUUGAAUAUUUACUAAAGUAAUUUGAAAGACCAAUAUUUACUAUUAAAAGAACUAAAAUUGCGAAAAAAAAUCCACCAAAAGAGGAGCUCCAAUUCCGAAUAGCUUAGUUUGGAUUUGGCUCCCCUCCAAUUAUUUAAUUUUAAUAAUUUUGUUAGUAAUGAUCAAAAUAAGUUAAUAGAUGGUGGAUGAUAUUAAGAUUCAUCCUCCCACAAAUUAGAAUAGUAAAAAAUAUUUCCACCAUUAAAAAUUUAAAAGAAUUUUCAAUCACUAAAAUUUUGAUAAAAUAUUCAUAUGUUCAUCAAAUAGUAAAUUUUUUUGAACAAUUAAGUUAUUCACUAUAAUAAAUUAAUUGAUCCAUAAUUAUAAAAGUAUGGUAUAUUAAUUAAAUGAAUUGAAAGAAAAGUGUAAUAGAAAAUUUAAAUUAUUUCACAAGCCAAUCCAAACCACGCAAGACGGCAAAAGUCUACAUUAGGGCUUUAUGACCGAGACCUUCAAGUCUUUGUCGGCUAGCUUAUAGUUUAUGUGCACUACAUACAUUUGAAGUAGUGGUAUUGAUAAGACCAUACAUUUGAAGUAGUGGCCUUCAAGUCUUUAAGUAGUGGUAUUGAUAUAUACAUUUGAAGUAGUGGUAUGGAUAAGACCAUACAUACAUUCGAAGUAGUGGUAUUGAUAAGACCAUAUAUACAUUUGAAGUAGUCGUAUUGAUAAGACCAUACAUUUGAAGUAGUGACCUUUAAGUCUUUAAGUAGUUGUAUUGAUAUAUACAUUUGAAGUAGUGGUAUAUAUUGAUAUCACAUUUGACCUUCAAGUCUUUGUCGGAUUGCUUAUAGUUUAUGUGGACUAUAUACAUUUGAAGUAGUGGUAUUGAUCUUCCUUUCCACAGUCUUCCCGUGGAAAUUAUUGAGAUAAAUUUCUCCAAAAUUAUCGAUAAAUUCGUUAAAGAAUAUGAUUGAAGCGACUCUGGGUGGAUCCAAUUAUUAAUAAGACCAUUUCUUCACUGGGGGAUUGUAUUCACUAAAAAUUAACUACUCCCUGCAUUCCAAACUAUAAAGACUAAAUGUUGUGGACUAUAUGUUAUGCAUUUGCAUGUUUUUGAAGUCAUUCUUUACAUCUUUUAUGUUUCAAACAUAAAUAAGAUAAUUUAAUCAUUUAAAAAACUAAAUGACCCAAAAAAAAUUAUUGAGUUCUUGUCAAUUUAUCAAAAUAACACAAUUUUUGUUGCACCAAAAUCAUUGAACUUUCAAUAAAGGUAAAAAAUUUACUAAAUUUUGACCUGAUCAUAUAUACAAAUCAACAGACACGUUAGCUCAUAUGACACAUUUUUUGACACGUUAGCAGUCAACUCGAAAUUAUUGUAAUUGUUUUUCUUUUUCUUUUCUUUAUAUUCUGAUCACCAAUGCAUAUAUAUCUAUCUAAUAAAAUACAAAUGAUUUUGAAUUUUUCGUUCACUCAAUAAAUUAUCUGGGCCGUCCAAAAUUUAGGAUAAAUCUCAACAUCCAUACAGUGCCGGAGGCACGGGACACAUCUAUUAUAUAUAUAUGCGGGAAAGAAGAGAGGGAAUUAAUUCCUAAACCACUAUAUAUACUUUAUUUUCCAACAUGCCUUGUUUGCUAAUAACAUAAACAAUUCCAGUCAGUGUUUCGAAGUGUGUGAACCGUUAAAGAGUCAUGAGGAUAGCUUGCAUCAUGGUCUUUUCUAUUGUAGUAGUACUCUUGUUGCUUCAUACUAUUCUUACGAGUUGCUCAGCCAUAAGUACUAGCCUUCAUCAUCAUCAUCAUCAUCAUCAUCAUCAUCAUGCAACUCUAAUUAACAUCACCACGGAUGAAUCCACUCUUUUGGCCUUGAAAUCUAGUAUCAUUUCUGAUCCUAACCGUACCCUUAUAAACAAUUGGUCCAUCGCUAAAGGCUCUUGUUGUAACUGGGUUGGAGUCACUUGUGGCACUCGCCAUAAGCGAGUCGUCGCCUUAAAUCUUUCAACCAUGGGCCUAAUAGGCACCAUUCCUCCGCAAAUUGGAAACCUCUCAUUCCUUGUUUCGCUUGAUCUUAGAAAUAAUAGCUUCAGCGAUUCCCUUCCCAAAGAUUUGUCUGCUUUGCGUCGACUUAAAAAAUUAAGUCUAAGAUUCAACAACUUUGGAGGGGAGCUUCCCUCAUGGUUGGGUGAAUUAACCAAACUUGAACUUUUGAUCUGUUCGGGAGCGUUUUACCGACCCUCCUUUGGGCCGAAGAUUCAACACCAGAAAGGUUGGAAAGACCGAUGGGCCGAAGCCCAUGAAAGUGUUGGAGGUGCUCGGGUCGACAUUUGAGCCCUCCGGGACCAUAGCUGAACCCGGUCUGGUGAUGUUCGGGGUCGGGUCUUUUGAGUUCUUUGGGCCGAAGCCCAGAUUAGAUUAUAGGACCGUUUGGGCCUGCACAGUGGGCUCUCCUGCGUGCAGAGUCCGGGUACCUAUUCGUAUGCAUAUAAGGCAACUCCAAAGGUGGUAAUGAGAUUGGACUCUACUUGCACCUUUUAAGGAGAUUGUGUUGGACCCAAGUUAUGGUAACUACCAUACACUAGGAGUCCUAAUCCGACUGGGAGAAGGAUUCUAAGGUGGUGAGUACUAUAAAUAUGAGGCCUAGGUUAUCAUUAUGAGGUAA